UACAGAGGUCUCAAGCGUUGUUCGGAUUCAUUGGGCGUAAAGGGUGCGUAGGUGGCGCGGUAAGUCGGGUGUGAAAUUUCGGAGCUUAACUCCGAAACUGCAUUCGAUACUGCCGUGCUUGAGGACUGGAGAGGAGACUGGAAUUUACGGUGUAGCAGUGAAAUGCGUAGAGAUCGUAAGGGAGACCAGUGGCGAAGGCGGGUCUCUGGACAGUUCCUGACACUGAGGCACGAAGGCCAGGGGAGCAAACGGG
RNAcentral lists this ribosomal RNA (253 nucleotides) under uncultured bacterium. RNAcentral describes it as "partial 16S ribosomal RNA". It matches the Rfam family "Bacterial small subunit ribosomal RNA", at positions 524 to 776 of the family's 1533-position model. The record is from RNAcentral.